AUGAGCUUAUCUGCCACUGGGAUCGUUACUGCCAUCAAUGAAUGUGUCACUUUGUUUCAGUGGGCGAAAUCUGCCAUUUCAUCUCUGCACUCCCGGUGGAGUGGCCCCCAAGAGCAAAGUCUUGAGGAUCAUGUCUUGCAGCUGGAGAGUGGCCUUCAAAGUCUGAGGGAUACUCUACCUGCAAUGUACGACCUCAUUGAUAAAGCAGAGUGGAGAAGCCACGAACAUGGUGUGGCCAAACUCCUUCCUAAUCUCAAUGAUGCAAUGACUGAGGCUGAGGACCUUCUUGAUGAGUUCACAUGGUACGAGAAGAAGGUGCAAGUGGAAGGCAAUGCAAGCCAAUCUCCUUUCACGGAGUUCUUCGAUACCGUCAUCCAAGGCAACUUCAACAAACUGAGUGAUGUCCAAUCAAGAUUGAAUCUUCUAUCAAGUCAUCUGGAGAAUAUGGGGAUUUGUGGAGUUACACAACGCUUUGACAAAUUAGUCAGGCCGGAGACCACCUCUUUGCCAAAUGAAACCAAAAUUUUUGGUCGUGAUAAGGAGCUGGAGCAGCUAUUAGGAUAUGUUCCUGCACCUACAAAUCCAAAACGCAAGAGAGCAACUAGUUCAAUCAAUGGAUCAACAAGCAACCAAGUUAGUAAUGAUUCAAGAAUGUUGAUUCUUCCUGUUCUACCAAUAGUUGGACUUGGGGGUGUUGGAAAGACCACUUUAGUCCAAUUGUUCUGCAGCCAUCAACGAGUGUUGGCUUUUUAUGAGCUGAUAAUUUGGAUAUAUGUCUCUGAUGACUUUGAUGUGAAGAGGUUGACUAAAGAGGCUAUACAAUCUUGUACUGGAAACGAGGCGACAAGUGAUAAUCUGGAUUUUCUUCAGCAUGCUCUUUCUAAGCAUCUGAAAAAUAAAAAAUUCUUGAUAGUCCUUGAUGACAUCUGGGAUGAUGCCUUGAAGGGAAAUGGGCAGUCUUGGAAGAGCUUUUGUGCACCUUUUAGAAAUGUCCAAGAGGGAAGUAUGAUGUUGGUCACUACCAGAUGUCAAAAGGUAACCAAGGGGGUGCGCACAUUGGAGCCCAUUCUGUUAGAAGGUCUAAAUGAAUAUAUCUUUUGGAUUUUCUUUAAAUCGUGCGCAUUUGGAUCUGGGAGUUCUAACAAUUAUCCUGAGUUAGAGUGCAUUGGUAGAAGAAUACUUCCUAAACUAAAGGGUUCUCCUUUGGCUGCUAAAACACUGGGACGCAUGUUAAGCAUGGACCUUAAAGCAUUGCAUUGGAAUUUUAUACUUGAGAGUGAAUUGUGGGAGUUGAGACAAGAGGAUACGGACAUUUUGCCUGCCCUUCGGUUGAGCUACAUGUAUUUACCAUUCUAUUUGAAGCAAUGCUUUGCAUUCUGUGCCGUGUACCCAAAAGAUUAUAUUUUUCAGAAGGAUUGCUUAGCUAAAUUUUGGGUGGCAGAAGGCUUUGUGGAAUCUAAUGGUGGUAUUCCAGUUGAACAUAUUGCAUGUCAGUAUUUUGAAGACCUUGUUUUUGAUGCCAAGAAAUGCAUGCUAGAAAGCUUACCCGAUGAAUUUUGGAAAGGAAAAGUAAUUAGGUUAAUGAAGAACCUAAACCAAUUUCGUGGAGACUUGGAGAUAACUAAUGUUCACAUGCUCAGUAAGGAGAAUGCAGCGGAAGCUGUACUGAAGAACAAGAAAUAUCUUGAUGAGUUGAUACUGAAUAUGCAGUCUCGGAUCAUCCAGAACAAUGAGUUAGAAGUGGCUCAACUACUGCAACCUCCUAUCAGUCUCAAGUCUCUAUCCUUCCUGAAUUAUGAGUGUGUCUCGCUACCAACCUGGUUUUUUCAGCCCCAGAACUUACCAAGUUUUGUGUCCCUGACAGACAUAACCAUUGAUGGGUGCGAGAAUAUAUCAAGUCUUGAGCAUUUUCUGCAUCCAGAUUAUGUACCAGCCAUCAAGAAAAUAAGAGUUGAAGAUUGCGAGAUGUUAGCAUCAGUACCAACUGACAAUUUUGGAGGUUUUCAUUUCCUUGAAGAACUGCAUGUGGCCCGGUGUCCAAAUAGCUGCUCCCAAAGAUUGGUAUCGCCGUCCCUUAAGAAGCUCUAUCUCCAUGGUUCUGGUCUCUUUCGCAAUAUUGACUGCUGCUCCCUCACCUUCUUUUAUUUAGUAUGUGACUUUGUCACGUCCAUCCAACUAGAAAUGUGGAGUCUUCCAGCCCUACGGGAGUUGCACAUUAGGUGUGGAUCUCUUGCAUCUAUUGUGGGCUCCACUGACCUUUCCACAGCGUUCUCGUGCCUUGGUGUCCUAAAAAUUUCGCACUGUAAUAAAUUGUCAACCCUUGACGACCUCCUGACACAAGAAUAUCUACCUGCUAUUGAGAAAAUUGACGUUGAAUGUUGUCCUGAGUUACUGUCCCUGCCAGGUGAAAGCCUCACAUCCCUCACCUCGCUGAGCAUUGCUGGGUGCAAAGGUAUAACAUCCAUCGCAGGCGACAUUUGGCGCUGUAAUCUUGCUUCACUUGAGGAAUUGGCGAUUCAGGAUUGUCCAGACCUAGUUUCAAUUGGUGGAGCAAAGGCAGUUGCAGAAAUAAAGCAGGUGACGAUACACAUGUGCCCGAAAUGUAAGGAAGCGAAUCAGAUCAAUAUAAGAUCCCGACAAAGGUAUUUGUGCUAA
Molecule: ribosomal RNA, 2655 nt
Filed under: Triticum aestivum (bread wheat)
Lineage: Eukaryota; Viridiplantae; Streptophyta; Magnoliopsida; Poales; Poaceae
Description: partial small subunit ribosomal RNA
Source: RNAcentral